AACGCACCUUGCGCUCCUUGGUAUUCCGAGGAGCAUGCCUGUUUGAGUGUCAUUAAUAUAUCAAUCUCUUCAGCUUUUGCUUGUUGAGUAUUGGAUGUGGGGGUAUAUUGUUUGUUGGCCUUUUCUUCUGAGGUCAGCUCCCCUGAAAUGUAUUAGCGGAACAAUUUGUUGACCGUUCAUUGGUGUGAUAAAACUAUCUACGCUAUUGACGUGAAGCAGGUUCAGCUUCUAACAGUCCAUUGACUUGGACAACUCUUCAUUAAUGUGACCUCAAAUCAGGUAGGACUACCCGCUGAACUUAA
Molecule: unclassified non-coding RNA, 302 nt
Filed under: uncultured Cortinariaceae
Lineage: Eukaryota; Fungi; Basidiomycota; Agaricomycetes; Agaricales; Cortinariaceae
Description: sequence contains ITS2
Rfam family: 5.8S ribosomal RNA (bases 1-52)
Source: RNAcentral